This is a small nuclear RNA of Dromiciops gliroides (monito del monte), 103 nucleotides long. The record is from RefSeq and is a predicted model, not a curated record. Lineage: Eukaryota; Metazoa; Chordata; Mammalia; Microbiotheria; Microbiotheriidae.
UUGCUUCAGCAGCACAUAUACUAAAAUUGGAACAAUACAGAGAAGAUUAGCAAGGCCCUUGAGCAAGAAUGACAGGCAAAUUUGUGAAGCAUUCUAUAUUGGG